RNAcentral lists this ribosomal RNA (253 nucleotides) under uncultured bacterium. RNAcentral's name for it is "partial 16S ribosomal RNA". It matches the Rfam family "Bacterial small subunit ribosomal RNA", at positions 524 to 776 of the family's 1533-position model. The record is from RNAcentral.
UACGUAGGGUGCAAGCGUUGUCCGGAAUUAUUGGGCGUAAAGAGCUCGUAGGCGGCUUGUCGCGUCGGCUGUGAAAACCCGGGGCUCAACCCCGGGCCUGCAGUCGAUACGGGCAGGCUAGAGUCCGGCAGGGGAGACUGGAAUUCCUGGUGUAGCGGUGAAAUGCGCAGAUAUCAGGAGGAACACCGGUGGCGAAGGCGGGUCUCUGGGCCGGAACUGACGCUGAGGAGCGAAAGCGUGGGGAGCGAACAGG